This 73-nucleotide transfer RNA is filed under the name Vicugna pacos (alpaca). RNAcentral's name for it is "tRNA-Thr (AGT) (tRNA-Thr-AGT-42-1)". It matches the Rfam family "tRNA". From Rfam's summary of the family: Transfer RNA (tRNA) molecules are approximately 80 nucleotides in length. Their secondary structure includes four short double-helical elements and three loops (D, anti-codon, and T loops). The record is from RNAcentral. Lineage: Eukaryota; Metazoa; Chordata; Mammalia; Artiodactyla; Camelidae.
GGAGGAUAUAGCUCAGAGGUAGAGUGUGUGCUUAGUAUGCACAAGGUCCUGGGUUCAAUCCCCAGUACCUCCA